UGCAGAGGUCCCAAGCGUUGUUCGGAUUCACUGGGCGUAAAGGGUGCGUAGGCGGUCGGGUAAGUCUGGCGUGAAAUCUCCAAGCCUAACUUGGAAACUGCGUUGGAUACUAUCCGGCUCGAGGAAUGGAGGGGAGACUGGAAUACUUGGUGUAGCAGUGAAAUGCGUAGAUAUCAAGUGGAACACCAGUGGCGAAGGCGAGUCUCUGGACGGUGACUGACGCUGAGACGCGAAAGCGUGGGGAGCAAACAGG
This 253-nucleotide ribosomal RNA is filed under the name uncultured bacterium. RNAcentral describes it as "partial 16S ribosomal RNA". It matches the Rfam family "Bacterial small subunit ribosomal RNA", at positions 524 to 776 of the family's 1533-position model. The record is from RNAcentral.